This 548-nucleotide ribosomal RNA is filed under the name uncultured Glomus. RNAcentral's name for it is "SSU rRNA". It matches the Rfam family "Eukaryotic small subunit ribosomal RNA", at positions 548 to 1098 of the family's 1831-position model. The record is from RNAcentral. Lineage: Eukaryota; Fungi; Glomeromycota; Glomeromycetes; Glomerales; Glomeraceae.
UUGGAGGGCAAGUCUGGUGCCAGCAGCCGCGGUAAUUCCAGCUCCAAUAGCGUAUAUUAAAGUUGUUGCAGUUAAAAAGCUCGUAGUUGAAUUUCGAGACCGGCUUAUUGGUCGUGCUAUUGUACGUACUGGUAUAAUCGGUUUCUCCUUUCUGACGAACUAUAAUGCCAUUAAUUUGGUGUUAUAGGGAAUCAGGACUGUUACUUUGAAAAAAUUAGAGUGUUUAAAGCAGGCUCACGCUUGAAUACAUUAGCAUGGAAUAACGGAAUAGGACGUUUGAUUCUAUUUUGUUGGUUUCUAGGAUCGACGUAAUGAUUAAUAGGGAUAGUUGGGGGCAUUAGUAUUCAAUUGUCAGAGGUGAAAUUCUUGGAUUUAUUGAAGACUAACUACUGCGAAAGCAUUUGCCAAGGAUGUUUUCAUUAAUCAAGAACGAAAGUUAGGGGAUCGAAGACGAUCAGAUACCGUCGUAGUCUUAACCAUAAACUAUGCCGACUAGGGAUCGGAUGAUGUUAAUUUUUUAAUGACUCAUUCGGCGCCUUACGGGAAAC